RNAcentral lists this ribosomal RNA (465 nucleotides) under Vreelandella stevensii. Its description in RNAcentral is "partial 16S ribosomal RNA". It matches the Rfam family "Bacterial small subunit ribosomal RNA", at positions 338 to 795 of the family's 1533-position model. Lineage: Bacteria; Pseudomonadati; Pseudomonadota; Gammaproteobacteria; Oceanospirillales; Halomonadaceae. The record is from RNAcentral.
CCUACGGGCGGCAGCAGUGGGGAAUAUUGGACAAUGGGGGGAACCCUGAUCCAGCCAUGCCGCGUGUGUGAAGAAGGCCCUCGGGUUGUAAAGCACUUUCAGUGAGGAAGAACACCUGGUGGUUAAUACCCAUCAGGAAAGACAUCACUCACAGAAGAAGCACCGGCUAACUCCGUGCCAGCAGCCGCGGUAAUACGGAGGGUGCGAGCGUUAAUCGGAAUUACUGGGCGUAAAGCGCGCGUAGGUGGCUUGAUAAGCCGGUUGUGAAAGCCCCGGGCUCAACCUGGGAACGGCAUCCGGAACUGUCAAGCUAGAGUGCAGGAGAGGAAGGUAGAAUUCCCGGUGUAGCGGUGAAAUGCGUAGAGAUCGGGAGGAAUACCAGUGGCGAAGGCGGCCUUCUGGACUGACACUGACACUGAGGUGCGAAAGCGUGGGUAGCAAACAGGAUUAGAUACCCGGGUAGUC